This 108-nucleotide ribosomal RNA is filed under the name Schizosaccharomyces cryophilus OY26. Lineage: Eukaryota; Fungi; Ascomycota; Schizosaccharomycetes; Schizosaccharomycetales; Schizosaccharomycetaceae. The record is from RNAcentral.
GUGCACGGCCAUACCUAGGCGAAACCACCAGUUCCCGUCCGAUCACUGCGAUUAAGAGUCUGAGGGCUUAGUCUCGUUUGUGCUAUGGUUGGAGAGGUGCUGUAGGCU